This 401-nucleotide ribosomal RNA is filed under the name uncultured bacterium. RNAcentral's name for it is "bacterial SSU rRNA". It matches the Rfam family "Bacterial small subunit ribosomal RNA", at positions 356 to 774 of the family's 1533-position model. The record is from RNAcentral.
UGGGAAUCUUGGACAAUGGGGGAAACCCUGAUCCAGCCAUGCCGCGUGAGUGAUGAAGGCCUUAGGGUUGUAAAGCUCUUUCGCACGCGACGAUAAUGACGGUAGCGUGAGAAGAAGCCCCGGCUAACUUCGUGCCAGCAGCCGCGGUAAUACGAAGGGGGCUAGCGUUGUUCGGAAUUACUGGGCGUAAAGCGCGCGCAGGCGGGUCAUCAAGUCAGAGGUGAAAGCCCGGAGCUUAACUCCGGAAUAGCCUUUGAAACUGUUGGUCUUGAGUACGGGAGAGGUUAGUGGAAUUCCCAGUGUAGAGGUGAAAUUCGUAGAUAUUGGGAAGAACACCAGUGGCGAAGGCGGCUCACUGGCCCGUUACUGACGCUCAGGCGCGAUAGUGUGGGGAUCAAACA